ACUCUAAAACUUGGAUGGUUGAGGAUGGGGGGUUGAGUAGCUGUGGGGAGAACGUUAAUUGUCGCAGCAGCCUUCUCUCUCGGAAAACGUUAAGUGUAAGCUGUUUGGUAGAGUUAAGUGUAAGCUGUUUGGUAGAACGGGCCUUUCCCCUUAGGACUGAUAAUCAGAGGUGAGAGGGUGGAAUUGGCCCCUCAGGCCUUGCUUUCUUUGGUAGAACUAUAAAAUCCAUCAUAGGGCUUGAUUUCCUUAGAUAGGUUGGAGGACAGACUUCUCUUUAGCAGUUACACUAAUUUUCAUUUUUCUCAGAAUGAUCAAGGAAAAAAAGCUUAUAAAACCCCAGAGUGGUAGUUACAUGGCACUUAAUUUACUCCCCCACAUGCAGGCUUUUCUUCAGCACUGUUAUUUUUUUCUUGCUGCCUUUACCGUGUAGGUGGCCUUCUCCGGAUUGCUGCUGACGGGAAAUUGAGCAACCUUUCUUUUUUGGAACAGAAUAUAUUUUACUGCUGAAAGAAAAAAACCUGGUGUUUAUGUUUUGAAAUUUAACUGUGAAUUUUUGUUUGAAGACCAAUUUAAAUCUAGAAAAAUGGAAGUAGGGGUUAAAUCUCAUAUUGUGCACUGAUAUUUCUGACCCUUCCCAGUAAUUUUGGGGCCUUCCUUUUUUUGUGGAAUUACUUUGCUUUGUAAAGCAAAAAUCACUUUGCUUUGUUCUCUUAGCCAUUGAUGGGUAUUAAGCAGUUGUCUUUGACCAGGUUAUUAUUUUUCUUGCUUUUCUCUGAGGCUGUCUUCCCCAAUUGUCUUCUUUCUGUAAUGGAGGUGUGAUGGGCUCCACGUUGAUUUAACAGGCAUCUUGAAUCAAGAAGGUUUUGAGAGGAUUCCUCAAGUUUGACCUCAAGCAAGAUUCACUACUAACUUUGAAGUAGAAUAAGGUUGUACAUUGUUCAUGUGGAUGCUAUUGGCUAAAUUUCUAUAGCAAUGGCACGAGAAUAUAGCACCUGUGAUCUGACCAAGUCACAGCCUGCUUUCCAUAGUCGUAUUUUGACUCCAGCAUACCCAUGCCUGCUGUGUCAUCCUGAUGCCCUGUGUGGCCACAUGCAUCAUAAUACCAACACCCUUUACAUCCCCUUCCAAAAAUGUGAAGAAUGGUAAGAGAAGUAAGCCAAGGACACCAUCCUGGAAUCACUAGCUUUGCACUGGAGCCCAACAAUGAUACUGAGGAGCCAGCAAAAAGAAAGAGGCAAGAGAAAAAUGAAGAACAUGGUUAUCAUGGAAGUGCAGAGAAGAGAGAGUUUCAGGAAGGAGGGAGGGAUCAAGAGUGUACAUGUCUCAAAGAGCCAGUAUGACAAGAACUGUUUUUACACCUGGAGCUUCCCUGGAGGGGAGGGACUGUUUCCUCAAAUAUCCUCGCACCCAGUGUGUACUCAGUGCUCAGAGAGAAUGCAGAAAAGCUGGGGAUGAUUUAGAGGAGAGGAGGAAGCACUUUUCCUAGAAGAUUGGCGUUAUCAGCAAAGGGCGAGGGUUACGAUGUGAUAAACCUUGAGUGAUGAAGGCUUCCAGCUAGUAGAAUUUGGGUGCGUCGUCUUGUUUUCUGAAUUCCGUGAACUUGCUGAACUU
This is a long non-coding RNA of Equus asinus (donkey), 1611 nucleotides long. The record is from Ensembl. NCBI's taxonomy places the organism in Eukaryota, Metazoa, Chordata, Mammalia, Perissodactyla, Equidae.